AAAAGGGAAAAAAACCAGUAUGAUGACUAAGCAGACUCACCUAUAUUAAUAGGAGCAAAGUUUCUGAAAAACCAAACACCAAUAAGAUUUGGUAACAGCUGAAACUAUCAAGUAGUGCCUAUAGCCACAAGUAAGACAGAAGAGAGAUGAUGUAUAAAAGCUGAUGGAAUACCCUGCAUCAAUUGGAGUUCUUGUCACAAUCCAUCGUAGCUGAUAGAAGCAUAUAAGUAUAAAA
RNAcentral lists this long non-coding RNA (235 nucleotides) under Eucalyptus grandis. RNAcentral describes it as "long non-coding RNA (EGRA_LNC001670)". The record is from RNAcentral. Lineage: Eukaryota; Viridiplantae; Streptophyta; Magnoliopsida; Myrtales; Myrtaceae.